RNAcentral lists this long non-coding RNA (2317 nucleotides) under Homo sapiens (human). RNAcentral describes it as "HSALNT0152618". The record is from RNAcentral. Lineage: Eukaryota; Metazoa; Chordata; Mammalia; Primates; Hominidae.
CUUGGGCAUGCAUCCAGAACCGGGACACCCUGCCAGGGGUAAGAUUUCCACUUCCCAUUAUUCUUCCACCGUGUCCCUCUUCUGUUAGAGUCUUGGAGGCCUAAACCCAUAAUGGGUUGAAAUUCUCCUCUGAUUCCUAAAAGGCUAAGAACAACCUGGAAUAUUUUGUAGAUAACAUGGAAGAAAGACCUUGACUAUUUUGUAGAUAAUAUGGAAGCUUAGUUUUUGUUUUGUUUUGUUUUUUAAUUAUCUGGCAAUGGUGGACAAGACUGAUUAAAGUGAGAAGAAGAAACUGGAGGCAGACAGAAGAAUGUGGAGGAGCCUGUGGCUGUAACCGGAGCAGGGAGCAGGAACAGCACGAACGAAGUCAGCCUGUGGAAGCAGAAAGUGAGGGGAAUUCUGCACAGAGACAACCGUCAAGUCUGUGCCUGCUGGACAUUGGGAGCCACAGAGAGGCAGGAGCAGGCGACAGCGUGGAGCUGCGAGCCUGGCCAGCAGAAAGCGAAUUGAAAAAUGUUCCUAAAGGAAGCUGGUGGAGGUUGUGUGUCAUCAAGCAAGAAAACAUACCAGGAAUGAGGAAGAUGUAGGACACAGGAACAGGAUAUCCAUCAAAAACGAGAACUCCAGGGUUGAUGGAGAAGAACCCUAGGUUGAUGACAGCCCUAUAGCUGGCCUAAGGAAACACCAGUCCAUACUGGAAGAGAAAAGUUCUGGAAAAGAUAUGGAAAAGAAAUCUAUGGUAAAGGGAGAACUGAGUAGAAUACCUGAUAGAUUUAAACAGAAAUCUCUAGGAAGAUAAUCACCAAGAAAAACAGGAGUCACAUAGAUUACCUGAUGUAUUGGAACGUUUUGAGAAAUGUAUACUCAGGCUAAGAAGUUGAGGAUGAGUAAAUGACAGGUACAUUACACAAUAGGAAAUGAAAAUUAAGGCAACUAGAAACUCCCAGGGAAACAAAAUAGUGAUCAUGAAAGAAAAAAAAAACAAAGUACACUAUUGCACUUGGUUGUUUAUAUAAUCAUGAUAUUGUAAAAACCGAACUUUGAUUUAACCAAAAAUUAAACUGUAGAGAUAACUAUAUUGGGAGAGUGUGGAGAGGAAGUCUAAAUAAAAGGAGUCAAAAUUUAUAUUUAAUGGUGAGAAGUUAAUUGAGAUCUAAAACUGAAAAAAUUAGGAAAUAGCAACGUAAACUUGUUGCUUCACAGUAUGGACAUAAACAUCAGAAGAAGGAACUAAAAGAGUUAAAAUGUUUGCCAUAGGAGUGGGAAUGAGGGUGAGUGGGGCGGGUGACAAGACUACUUUGGUUUUGUGUUGUUGUAAAAUCCAUUCACUUUUAAAAUUGUAUUAAACUAUGUUCAUAUGUUGAUAAAAAUUAAAGUUAAAAUGUUUGUUGGAGGUCUCUGACUUUGACGUUUAGGAAACAAUGCUAUCAGCAUUUUUUAAAGUACUUGCUAAAUACUUGCUCACAUAUGGCAAGUUUUAGGCACCAGAACAAUGAUUUAUACUGCAUCCCUCCUGAGAAAAUGUGGUUUGACCACAAUGAGAUGUCACCUCACAUGUGUUAGGAGGGUUUUAUCAAGAUGAAAAAUAAUAAGUGUUGGCCAGGAUGUGGAGAAAAGGGAACCCUUGCACACUGUUGGUGGAAAUGUAAAUUAGUGCAACCAUUAUGGAAAACAGUCGGUGGCUCCUCAAAAAAUUAAAAAUAGAAUGACCAUGUGAUCCAGCAAUCUCACUUGUGGAUAUGGGAAAUGAUAUCAGUAUGUCUAAGUAUGCCCAAGAGAUACCUCUACUCCUGUGUUCACUGAAGCGCUAUUCACAAUGGCCAAGAUAAGGAAUCAAUCUAAGUGUCCAUCAAUGGAAUGAAUGGAUAAAGAAAAUGUGGUAUUCAGCCUUAAAAAAAUAAGGGAACCCCGUCAUUUUCCAACUAUAUGGGUAAACCUGGAGGACAUUAUGUUAACUGAAAUAAGCCAGGCACAAAAGACAAUACCUCAAGAUCUCACUCAUAUGUGGAAUCUUAAAAAGUCAAACUCAGAGGAGCACCAGGGACUGGAUGGGGGAGGGAUGCUGGGAAGAUGUUUGUUAAAGGAUACAAAAUUUUGGUGAGAUAGGUGGAAUGAGUUCAAGAGAUCUAUUGCACAACAUGGCGACCCCAUUUAAUAACAAUGUACUGCAUUCUUGAAAAUUGCUGAGAGUACAUUUUAAUUGUUCUCACUGCGAAAAGAGAGCUAAGUAUGUGAGGUAAUGCAUGUUAAUUACUCUGAUUUAGUUAUUCCACAAGGUAUACACACUUUAAAAUGUGUUGUACAUGAUAAAUAUAUA